This 490-nucleotide ribosomal RNA is filed under the name uncultured bacterium. RNAcentral describes it as "partial 16S ribosomal RNA". It matches the Rfam family "Bacterial small subunit ribosomal RNA", at positions 30 to 507 of the family's 1533-position model. The record is from RNAcentral.
AUUGAACGCUGGCGGCAGGCCUAACACAUGCAAGUCGAACGGUAACAGAAAGCAGCUUGCUGCUUUGCUGACGAGUGGCGGACGGGUGAGUAAUGUCUGGGAAACUGCCUGAUGGAGGGGGAUAACUACUGGAAACGGUAGCUAAUACCGCAUAACGUCGCAAGACCAAAGAGGGGGACCUUCGGGCCUCUUGCCAUCGGAUGUGCCCAGAUGGGGUUAGCUAGUAGGUGGGGUAAAGGCUCACCUAGGCGACGAACCCUAGCUGGUCUGAGAGGAUGACCAGCCACACUGGAACUGAGAAACGGUCCAGACUCCUACGGGAGGCAGCAGUGGGGAAUCUUGCACAAUGGGCGCAAGCCUGAUGCAGCCAUGCCGCGUGUAUGAAGAAGGCCUUCGGGUUGUAAAGUACUUUCAGCGGGGAGGAAGGGAGUAAAGUUAAUCCCUUUGCUCAUUGACGUUACCCGCAGAAGAAGCACCGGCUAACUCCGUG